AGAGUGAACGCUGGCGGUAGGCCUAACACAUGCAAGUCGAACGGCAGCACGGUAAGAGCUUGCUCUUAUGGGUGGCGAGUGGCGGACGGGUGAGGAAUACAUCGGAAUCUACCUUUUGGUGGGGGAUAACGUAGGGAAACCUACGCUAAUACCGCAUACGCCCUUCGGGGGAAAGCCGGGGACCAGCAAUGGCCUGGCGCUGAUAGAUGAGCCGAUGUCGGAUUAGCUGGUUGGUGAGGUAAUGGCUCACCAAGGCGACGAUCCGUAGCUGGUCUGAGAGGAUGAUCAGCCACACUGGAACUGAGACACGGUCCAGACCUCCGUACGGGAGCAGCAGUGGGGAAUAUUGGACAA
Molecule: ribosomal RNA, 354 nt
Filed under: uncultured soil bacterium
Lineage: Bacteria
Description: bacterial SSU rRNA
Rfam family: Bacterial small subunit ribosomal RNA
Source: RNAcentral